AUUGAACGCUGUCGGCAGGCCUAACACAUGCAAGUCGAACGAGUGGCGGACGGGUGAGUAAUGUCUGGGAAACUGCCUGAUGGAGGGGGCUAACUACUGGAAACGGUAGCUAAUACCGCAUACCAUCGGAUGUGCCCAGAUGGGAUUAGCUAGUAGGUGGGUUAACGGCUCACCUAGGCGACGAUCCCUAGCUGGUCUGAGAGGAUGACCGGCCACACUGGAACUGAGAAACGGUCCAGACUCCUACGGGAGGCAGCAGGGGGGAAGAGUGCACAAUGGGCGCAAGCCUGAUGCAGCCAUGCCGAGUGUAUGAAGAAGGCCUUCGGGUUGUAAAGUACUUGCAGCGGGGAGGCGUUACCCGCAGAAGAAGCACCGGCUAACUCCGUGCCAGCAGCCGCGGUAAUUC
RNAcentral lists this ribosomal RNA (406 nucleotides) under uncultured bacterium. RNAcentral's name for it is "partial 16S ribosomal RNA". It matches the Rfam family "Bacterial small subunit ribosomal RNA", at positions 30 to 526 of the family's 1533-position model. The record is from RNAcentral.